CAGUAGCCGCGGUAAUACGGAGGGUGCAAGCGUUAAUCGGAAUUACUGGGCGUAAAGCGCACGCAGGCGGUCUGUCAAGUCAGAUGUGAAAUCCCCGGGCUUAACCUGGGAACUGCAUUUGAAACUGGCAGGCUAGAGUCUUGUAGAGGGGGGUAGAAUUCCAGGUGUAGCGGUGAAAUGCGUAGAGAUCUGGAGGAAUACCGGUGGCGAAGGCGGCCCCCUAGACAAAGACUGACGCUCAGGUGCGAAAGCGUGGGGAGCAAACAGGAUUAGAUACCCCUGUAGUCCCUGUCUCUUAUAC
Molecule: ribosomal RNA, 301 nt
Filed under: uncultured bacterium
Lineage: Bacteria
Description: partial 16S ribosomal RNA
Rfam family: Bacterial small subunit ribosomal RNA
Source: RNAcentral